Molecule: transfer RNA, 77 nt
Filed under: Candidatus Peregrinibacteria bacterium RIFCSPLOWO2_01_FULL_39_12
Lineage: Bacteria; Candidatus Peregrinibacteriota
Also listed under: 1 other name
Description: tRNA-Arg
Rfam family: tRNA
About the family: Transfer RNA (tRNA) molecules are approximately 80 nucleotides in length. Their secondary structure includes four short double-helical elements and three loops (D, anti-codon, and T loops).
Source: RNAcentral
GCGCCCGUAGCUCAGUUGGAUAGAGCAGUGCCCUUCUAAGGCAAAGGUCGGCCGUUCAAAUCGGCCCGGGCGUACCA